RNAcentral lists this ribosomal RNA (497 nucleotides) under uncultured bacterium. Its description in RNAcentral is "partial 16S ribosomal RNA". It matches the Rfam family "Bacterial small subunit ribosomal RNA", at positions 28 to 507 of the family's 1533-position model. The record is from RNAcentral.
GAUGAACGCUGGCGGCGUGCCCAAUACAUGCAAGUCGGGCGAACGGACGAGAAGCUUGCUUUUCUGAUGUUAGCGGCGGACGGGUGAGUAACACGUGGAUAACCUACCUAUAAGACUGGGAUAACUUCGGGAAACCGGAGCUAAUACCGGAUAAUAUUUUGAACCGCAUGGUUCAAAAGUGAAAGACGGUCUUGCUGUCACUUAUAGAUGGAUCCGCGCUGCAUUAGCUAGUUGGUAAGGUAACGGCUUACCAAGGCAACGAUGCAUAGCCGACCUGAGAGGGUGAUCGGCCACACUGGAACUGAGACACGGUCCAGACUCCUACGGGAGGCAGCAGUAGGGAAUCUUCCGCAAUGGGCGAAAGCCUGACGGAGCAACGCCGCGUGAGUGAUGAAGGUCUUCGGAUCGUAAAACUCUGUUAUUAGGGAAGAACAUAUGUGUAAGUAACUGUGCAUAUCUUGACGGUACCUAAUCAGAAAGCCACGGCUAACUACGUG